This is an RNA transcript of Ananas comosus (pineapple), 3879 nucleotides long. It is a transcript of the gene named kinesin-like protein KIN-7F, with no coding region annotated. The record is from RefSeq and is a predicted model, not a curated record. Lineage: Eukaryota; Viridiplantae; Streptophyta; Magnoliopsida; Poales; Bromeliaceae. The transcript is spliced from 15 exons.
UCUCUCUCUCUCUCUCUCUCUCUCUCUACUCUAUGUAGUACUGGUACAUACACACUCUCUCUCCGUGUUGGAGAGGGAACUUAGAGAGAGAAAACGCACCGCACCUCCCACCGUUCUCUCUCGCUCCUCCACCUCCCUUCAAAAAAGGCAACGAGGUGAGCGUGGGUGGUUUCAAUCCCCUCGCGCUCCCGCUUCUGUAGAGAUCUCUCUCAGAUCGAUCGUCCAUGGCGGAGCUCGAAUCCUUCGCACUAAACACGACAAUGUACUACUCUCUCUGAAUCUAUGAAUUGCAUAUAAACCCUAGAUGAGGAAGCUGUAGUUUUGAUUUUUCUUUUUUUUGGGGGGGGUUUGAGAGUGACUGGAGAAUUAAGAAAUGAAUACAUGCGGGAGUGAGAAAGUGAUAGAGUGAUGAGUUGUGAUCUUUCUUUGCUUCGCUUAUCAGUAUUCAAUGAGGUUGAUACUGAUACCUUAACCACUGAUCUGAUCAUACUGGGGGUCCACUAAUCGAUUCCCCAAUGUUGUGAUGUACCGUCCCGCAACGACGUUCGCACUACCCGUAACAGCUACUCACCAACAGUCCCUCCUAUAUGAAUUAUCAUUAAUUCGGUGCCACACAAUGGAGAGGAAUUGAGGGAGAGAGAAAAAAAAAAGAAAUUGUUGUGAGUAGUGAAGGCUAUGCGGACGGUGUAGGAAAGGGAGGAGGAGGGAGAUGGGGACGGUCGGAGGGGAGGAGCUGGCGCGGUGGGAGAAGGCGGAGGGAUUCGAGGCGGCGGCCGGUGUCGAGGGCGGCGGCGGCGGCGGGAAGACGGAGAAGAUAUUGGUGUCGGUGAGGCUGAGGCCGCUGAGCGAGAAGGAGGUCGCGAGGGGCGAGCCUGCCGAUUGGGAGUGCAUCAAUGACACCACCAUCAUUUUCAGGAGCAGCCUCCCGGAACGGCCCUUGCUUCCCUCUGCAUACUCAUUUGACAGGGUAUUCCGUUCUGAUUGCACCACGAAAGAGGUGUAUGAGUGGGGAGCUAAAGAAGUUGCCCUUUCAGUAGUUAGCGGUAUUAAUUCAAGUAUAUUUGCAUACGGACAAACAAGCAGUGGAAAGACGUACACAAUGACUGGAAUAACUGAGUAUACUGUGGCAGAUAUAUAUGAAUACAUACGUAGGCAUGAGGAGAGAGCAUUUGUAUUAAAGUUCGCAGCAAUGGAGAUCUAUAAUGAAGUUGUAAAGGAUCUCCUCAGUACAGACGAUACUCCCCUUAGGCUUUUGGAUGAUCCUGAGAAGGGAACCAUCAUAGAGAAACUUACAGAGGAGACGCUAAGGGACUGGAACCAUCUUAAGGAGCUCAUUUCCGUGUGUGAAGCUCAAAGGAAAGUCGGGGAGACUCUGUUAAAUGAAAAUAGCUCGAGAUCUCAUCAGAUACUUAGAUUGACUAUUGAAAGUUCUGCUCGUGAGUUUUUGGGUAAGGACAAUUCAAGCGCACUUGUGGCCAGUGUGAAUUUUAUUGAUCUUGCUGGGAGUGAGCGUGCAUCUCAGGCACUGUCGGUUGGUGCGAGGCUGAAAGAAGGUUGCCACAUCAAUAGAAGUUUACUUACAUUGGGAACUGUCAUCCGUAAGUUAAGCAAGGGAAGAAAUGGACAUAUACCAUACCGAGAUUCGAAGCUAACACGCAUACUGCAACCUUCAUUAGGAGGUAACGCAAGAACUGCCAUUAUCUGCACUAUGAGUCCCGCACGAUCCCAUAUCGAGCAAUCUAGAAAUACUCUUUUAUUUGCAAGCUGUGCAAAGGAAGUCGUUACCAAUGCUCAAGUUAAUGUAGUGAUGUCUGACAAGGCAUUAGUUAAGCAUUUGCAAAGAGAACUUGCUAGGUUGGAGAGUGAGCUACGAUAUCCCGCGACUUCUCUAAACAUUGAAGUGCUGUUGAAGGCAAAAGAUGGUCAAAUAAGAAAGUUGGAGAAAGAAAUAAAGGAGUUAAUGCAGCAAAGAGAUCUGGCUGAGUCUCGGCUGGAGGAUUUACUAAGAGUUGUUGGGGAUGAACGUGCUUCAAGACGAUGGGAGGCUUCUUCUCAAACACCCGGACUUUUCAUACCAUAUGCAUGUGGAGAUGAGCAUUCGACAACUAGGCCAUCAAAAGUUGCUGCUGGCCGUCUAAAUUGCCCUGCAUAUACUGAAGUCCUACUGCAUAAGAGCGAAAAGGAUAUCAGUCGAAACUCUAUUGAAGGAUCAGAGGACUUCUGCAAGGAAGUGCGCUGUGUCGAGAUAACUGAGGCGGGAAUAAGUGAAUGCUCAAAUUCAUUAUCAACUGAAGUGGGCAGUAGUUUGGUAGGACAAAGUAUGAACCCCGAAAACCAUAGAACAAAAGCUAAAAGGCAGAUUGACUUGAAAUGUCUAAAUAUGACUCCUAUCACACUAGAGCAGCAUUUGGAGAGUGUGAGAAAGGGUCUGAACAAUCUUAUCGGAGCUACACCCGAGGGAUCAUAUCAAUCGUCCUCAAUGAGAGAUUUGUCAAAAUCUCAAGGGUUGACAUUGCAAAGAAGUAAAAGUUGCAGGUCUAUACUAAUGACCUCUCCUGAUUGGUUCCAAGAGCUGGAGCAGAAUAAUUGCACGCCACCGACUAGAUGUCUAAAGGACUUCCCUGGAAGACCUGAAGGGCUUCAAAGAAGGCCUUUGGCAUUGAAUUAUGAUGCUGAAAGUGAAGUACUUUCAGUAGAAGAAUCUCUUAUUUCCGAACAAAGCACUUCUAUCAACAACACGAAAGGGAGUAAGAAUGCUUCUGAGGCAAAUUUUACUACCAUCAGUGAAUUUGCCACAGAGCUGAAGGAGAUGGCUCAGGUUCAGUAUCGGAAUCUACUCGAUGUUGGUCAGAACAUUGAUGAAGAAUUUGGACCUGAAGGUUCUGCUAAGAACAUAGUUCUGGAUCCAGUGCUACACCCUACGCAAUCUCCUUCUAGAUGGCCAUUAGAAUUCGAAAGAAAGCAGCAAGAAAUCGUUGAGCUCUGGCAUGCAUGCAAUGUCUCUUUAGUCCACAGAACUUACUUUUUCCUGCUUUUCAAAGGUGAUCCUACAGACUCGAUUUACAUGGAAGUGGAGCUGAGGCGGUUAUCCUUUUUGAUAAGUACUCACUCUAGGGGAAGCUUGGAUAAAACCCAAGCAUUUGGUGGUUCAAAUACUGUUCUUGCAUUAAGCAUGAAAAAGCUUCGGCAUGAAAGGGUGAUGCUAACUCGGCAGAUGCAGAAGAGACUAACACCACGAGAAAGGGAGAGCAUAUACACGAAGUGGGGAAUUUCACUGCACUCCAAGCAGAGGAGGCUACAGCUGGCCCAACGACUGUGGACUGAGACCAAGGACCUCGAACAUAUCCGAGAAAGCGCUUCUCUCGUUGCAAGACUAGUUGGGCUCUUAGAGCCCGGAAAGGCCCUAAAGGAGAUGUUCGGACUUAGCUUCACACCUCAACAAUCUAAUCGCAGAUCCUUUAUUUGGAAACAUGGUAUCUCUUCACUCAAUUAAGCAAAUUGGAAGCUUCGUUUUGCCAACCGAACUUUAUAUUUGAUGAAAAGGUAUUGAUAAUAGUUUCCUGGGCCAACUAAACAGCAAGGAGAUAGAAAUCAACCGAAGAAAGAGGAUCCGGCCGAAACAAGUGAAAUGAAAAGAGAUCCGAGCGAAUGGAAAGGAGAACCUAAAGGAGAAAUCGUCUUUUUCGCUUUGGUUAACCCUUCAUACCAAGAUUCUUAUUUUGAUCGGUAUCGAGAUAAUUGCGUUGGGAGACUUAAAAGAAGUGAUCACCCUGGUUUGAAAAAGUUUUUGUUGCUUUACUUUUUGACUCUGACUAUAGAAUAGCACAUUGCGAUGUGUAAAAAUAUUCAGCUUUUAAUUUAUUUUUGAGUGUUUGCUAA